This 508-nucleotide ribosomal RNA is filed under the name uncultured bacterium. RNAcentral's name for it is "bacterial SSU rRNA". It matches the Rfam family "Bacterial small subunit ribosomal RNA", at positions 28 to 526 of the family's 1533-position model. The record is from RNAcentral.
GACGAACGCUGGCGGCGUGGAUUAGGCAUGCAAGUCGAACGGUAUCAUCCUUUCGGGGGUGAGAGAGUGGCGAACUGGUGAGUAACACGUAGGUUAUCUACCCUCAAGACGGGGACAACCCAGGGAAACUUGGGCUAAUACCGGAUGUGAGCAACUUUUAGUUGUUUGAAAGGUGGCGUAAGCUGUCGCUUGGGGAUGAGCCUGCGUCCUAUUAGUUAGUUGGUGAGGUAACGGCUCACCUAGGCAAUGAUAGGUAGGCGGCCUUAACGGGUGGUCGCCCACACUGGGAUUGAGAUACGGCCCAGACUCCUACGGGAGGCAGCAGUCGAGAAUAGUCUACAAUGGUCGGAAGACUGAUAGUGCGACGCCGCGUGAACGAUGAAUCCCUUCGGGGUGUAAAGUUCUUUUAUAUGUGAGCAGUGCUUCUUAUAUUAACAGUAUGGGGAGAGAGAUAUUAGCAUAUGAAUAAGCAACGGCUAACUCCGUGCCAGCAGCCGCGGUAAAAUAC